Molecule: long non-coding RNA, 718 nt
Organism: Gossypium arboreum
Lineage: Eukaryota; Viridiplantae; Streptophyta; Magnoliopsida; Malvales; Malvaceae
Exons: 3
Source: RefSeq, a predicted model, not a curated record
AUUUCGACCGGAGCUAGGUUUUUGAGACUGAAACAGAUCAGUGUUUCCCUUGUUGAUGUGGCUCCUCCACAAACAGUGAAUGUUGACCAACUGGACUGGUCGAGUUUUUCUGAGACAAAAAGUAAAAGAUCUGUGUUUCCUUUGCUGAUGUGGCUCCUCCACAAACAGUGAACUUGACAGACCGGACUGGCCGAGUUUUUCUGGGACAAAAAGUGGAAGGUUUGUAUAAGCAAUCAGAAUAAUAUUUGAGGGAAAAUAUGAAGUCCAUAUGCAACUUGAUUAGUCGGUUAAGGGUUUUGAGAUAGAAACAGAUCUGUGUUUGCCCUGUUGAUGUGGCUCCUCCACAAACAGUAAACGUUGACUGACCGGACUGGUUGAGUCUUUCUGGGACAAUAAGUAAAAGGUUUGUAUAGUCUAUCAGAAUAAUAUUUGAGGGAAAAUAUGAAGUCCAUAUGCAACUUGUGGUAUACUCAGGUCAGUAUAAUCAAAAAUUUUUAAGGCAGCGUAGUGAAGAAAAUCCUAACCAUUGUUCACAUAUUACUCCCUAUGAUGACUUUUGAGGACUUUGUUUAUAGCAUUGUUGUUGAUGCAGCUUGAGGACAAAACCUGCAUUUCGCUAUUAACACAGUUUAGCUUCAUGCUAAAUCAUUAUGACUUGGUUUAGGUUGGUCCAUUCUGACUCAAAUUCGUUAAUCAUAAUUUACAUUCGAUUUAACUA